This 788-nucleotide long non-coding RNA is filed under the name Capra hircus (goat). Its description in RNAcentral is "lncRNA (ENSCHIG00010012018.1)". Lineage: Eukaryota; Metazoa; Chordata; Mammalia; Artiodactyla; Bovidae. The record is from RNAcentral.
UUGUAUUCCAUCUGGCGGCUUUUCCAACUAGAUGACUGGCCUGGCUGGAAACAUUAGAAGGGACCGAGGCAGCAGAGAUGUCUAAAAUAGGAAGACGCCGGGGCAAUUGGCCUGGCUGCCCGCGACGCUGGCUGCGGGGAUCUGGCCGGCCUGCGCAAAUGGAAAAGCUAAGAGGCCCAUCAGCGGGAACCCCCCUACCCCACCCAGCUAGAUGACCAAGGGUGAGCCCUGGCUCCAAGGACACUCUCUGCAGGUCUGUAGGUAACUUUGGAGCUUGGCUUGAAAAGACGAGUUGGACCAAACCACUGUCCCUCUGAGUUCUGGAAAUGGCACACAAAGGGAAGAGGGAGUUAGCAGGUAAGGUGACCAACCCUUCUGGGUUGUCUGAUUUUGGUACCCAAGGUCCUGCCUGCUAGGAAACAGACACAGCAGUGAGAAAAAAUGGUAAAGAAAUGUGAGCAAUGCUAUGAAUAUUGAUAAUAGCUACUGCUUCUUCUUUUUUUUUCUUUGUAAUUGGAGGAAGGAAAGGGUGGGAUGAAUUGAGAAAUCAGCAUCGACAUAUAGAUGCUAGUGAUUCUUGAGUGUAUACAAUAUACCAGGUUCUGUGCUAAGAAUGUUUUUAAAACUUAAAAAAAAUUAUUUUUAACUUGUCAUCUUAACCAUUUUUAAGUGUAUUUUCCAGGGGCAUUAAGUACGUUUACUGGGCUUCCCUGGUGGUUCAGAUGGUAAAGAAUCUUUCUGCAAUACAGGAGACCCAGGUUCAAUCCCUGAGUUGGGAAGAUCCUCUG